GAUGAACGCUGGCGGCGUGCCUAAUACAUGCAAGUCGAGCGAACAGACGAGGAGCUUGCUCCUCUGACGUUAGCGGCGGACGGGUGAGUAACACGUGGAUAACCUACCUAUAAGACUGGGAUAACUUCGGGAAACCGGAGCUAAUACCGGAUAAUAUAUUGAACCGCAUGGUUCAAUAGUGAAAGACGGUGUUGCUGUCACUUAUAGAUGGAUCCGCGCCGCAUUAGCUAGUUGGUAAGGUAACGGCUUACCAAGGCAACGAUGCGUAGCCGACCUGAGAGGGUGAUCGGCCACACCGGAACUGAGACACGGUCCAGACUCCUACGGGAGGCAGCAGUAGGGAAUCUUCCGCAAUGGGCGAAAGCCUGACGGAGCAACGCCGCGUGAGUGAUGAAGGUCUUCGGAUCGUAAAACUCUGUUAUUAGGGAAGAACAAAUGUGUAAGUAACUAUGCACGUCUUGACGGUGCCUAAUCAGAAAGCCACGGCUAACUACGUG
This 497-nucleotide ribosomal RNA is filed under the name uncultured bacterium. RNAcentral's name for it is "partial 16S ribosomal RNA". It matches the Rfam family "Bacterial small subunit ribosomal RNA", at positions 28 to 507 of the family's 1533-position model. The record is from RNAcentral.